UAAUACGUAGGGGGCAAGCGUUGUCCGGAUUUACUGGGCGUAAAGAGCGUGUAGGCGGCCAAGCAGGUCUGUUGUGAAAACUGGAGGCUCAACCUCCAGACGUCGACAGAAACCGCUUGGCUAGAGUCCGGAAGAGGAGAGUGGAAUUCCUGGUGUAGCGGUGAAAUGCGCAGAUAUCAGGAAGAACACCAAUGGCGAAGGCAGCUCUCUGGGACGGUACUGACGCUGAGACGCGAAAGCGUGGGGAGCGAACAGGAUUAGAUACCCUGGUAGUCCACACUGUAAACGAUGAUUACUAGGUGUUGGAGGAUUGACCCCUUCAGUGCCGCAGUUAACACAAUAAGUAAUCCACCUGGGGAGUACGACCGCAAGGUUG
Molecule: ribosomal RNA, 376 nt
Filed under: uncultured bacterium
Lineage: Bacteria
Description: bacterial SSU rRNA
Rfam family: Bacterial small subunit ribosomal RNA
Source: RNAcentral